UACGAAGGGGGCUAGCGUUGCUCGGAAUCACUGGGCGUAAAGGGUGCGUAGGCGGGUCUUUAAGUCAGGGGUGAAAUCCUGGAGCUCAACUCCAGGACUGCCUUUGAUACUGAAGAUCUUGAGUCCGGGAGAGGUGAGUGGAACUGCGAGUGUAGAGGUGAAAUUCGUAGAUAUUCGCAAGAACACCAGUGGCGAAGGCGGCUCACUGGCCCGGUACUGACGCUGAGGCACGAAAGCGUGGGGAGCAAACAGG
RNAcentral lists this ribosomal RNA (253 nucleotides) under uncultured bacterium. RNAcentral describes it as "partial 16S ribosomal RNA". It matches the Rfam family "Bacterial small subunit ribosomal RNA", at positions 524 to 776 of the family's 1533-position model. The record is from RNAcentral.